Molecule: long non-coding RNA, 261 nt
Organism: Fukomys damarensis (Damara mole-rat)
Lineage: Eukaryota; Metazoa; Chordata; Mammalia; Rodentia; Bathyergidae
Exons: 3
Source: RefSeq, a predicted model, not a curated record
GCUUGUCAGAGAUUUUUUGAAGAUAUGGUGAUGUUAUGAACCAUUAAACACCAAUCACUUUUAAGACAGGACUAAGAAGAAAGCUAUUCCUGAGAAGUUCUAGAAGACCGGAGGCUCCUCUUCAGAAAUAAGCCACAACAGCCCAAGGGAGUUGGAGAGCACAGACCCUUCCAGCUGGAAGAAGCUAUAGAGACAGAGACCUCCACUCCCUCAGCACCUCAUAAAGAAUCGUGGGGAUAUGUGUCUCUCAGGGGGAAAUGA